UAUAGGUAGAGCCAAACUCAGUCCAACGCAUAUGAUGAACAAAACUGCAACAGAAAGUAGAAUAUAAACAGUGACAGGGGAGAUGGAUAUAUGGUUUAGGGGGAUAUCGGUAUUCCUAAAUCGUGGGGCGCUCAACAGGAAAACUACGUAAUGCGUUUUAAUGAACAUGGCAGCAUUAUUUAUUACACGUGGAAGGAGAUUAGGUGUUUUACUGACUGUGUCCACCUCAACAGUGACAAUGCAUGGUCAAAUGAUAAUUAAGCGACCGCUGCACACUCGACCAGAACAAAGGCGAAGCUGGUUUGAAAGAAUUGGACCUUGAAACAAACUUUCAUGAGUUCGUGUCCAAAAAAUACCUGAUCUGAUUGAACAAAGUUAGUAUAUAGUAUAUAAAGAGAUUGGUUUAGAGAGUUUACAGAAUGGAAGGUACAAACACAACCAUAAAUUCUUUUGUUAAAUAACAAAGUAACAUGUUUGAAAUUCUACAACCUUACAUAUUAACAUAAUAUGAGGCAGACAAGAGUGUUCAAUGCGCCUCGUCCAGGAAUCACUUCAUUUUCUCAUAUGGAAGAGUACCAAUACAAUGUUUACCAAUAUAACAAAUCUCUUUACUUUUAAAAGUGAAAAAUAAUUGUAGGGGGCACAGGUCAAAUACUCUCCUUAACGGUAAAGCUAAUAUGGUAGAUUUACAGAACAUACACUAGUGCUACAAGAAGGUUUAGAUAGAAUAGUUAAGCUCAAGCUUGCAUGAGGACAUAUUUGGCAGGAUACUGAAUCCAGGGCCUCAACCCUGGCAGCAGUCCAAAUUGUUAAAUGUUCUGGGGCAUUAAAAUUUCUUGUACCUAAAAAAAAAA
Molecule: long non-coding RNA, 854 nt
Organism: Pecten maximus
Lineage: Eukaryota; Metazoa; Mollusca; Bivalvia; Pectinida; Pectinidae
Exons: 2
Source: RefSeq, a predicted model, not a curated record